GUACUCCAUGAUCCCCUUCACGUGGAGAUUUCGAAAGUAGGUGGCCUCCGUGGUGGCUUCGGAAUGACUCUCCCUCAACCUGCGAAGCUCGCCUUCCGCCUUCUUCGAUCUUUUUGUUAAAUGGAGGACUUCCUUCUUCAGCCACUGGAUUAUAGACUUUAGCGAAAUCCCCUGAGGCAAGGGAAGCGCUUCGGCGGGAUGCUG
RNAcentral lists this long non-coding RNA (204 nucleotides) under Elaeis guineensis (African oil palm). RNAcentral describes it as "long non-coding RNA (EGUI_LNC071534)". The record is from RNAcentral. Lineage: Eukaryota; Viridiplantae; Streptophyta; Magnoliopsida; Arecales; Arecaceae.